This 253-nucleotide ribosomal RNA is filed under the name uncultured bacterium. RNAcentral's name for it is "partial 16S ribosomal RNA". It matches the Rfam family "Bacterial small subunit ribosomal RNA", at positions 524 to 776 of the family's 1533-position model. The record is from RNAcentral.
UACGUAGGGUGCAAGCGUUAAUCGGACUUACUGGGCGUAACGCGUGCGCAGGCGGUUUUGUAAGUCUGUCGGGAAAUCCCCGGGCUUAACCUGGGAAUUGCGAUGGAGACUGCAAGGCUGGAGUCUGGCAGAGGGGGGUAGAAUUCCACGUGUAGCAGUGAAAUGCGUAGAGAUGUGGAGGAACACUGAUGGCGAAGGCAGCCCCCUGGGUCAAGACUGACGCUCAUGCACGAAAGCGUGGGGAGCAAACAGG